UAAAAGGCCCUUUUCAGGGCCACCUCCAUCGUCACACGAAGGGCUGU
Macaca mulatta (Rhesus monkey) is the source of this 47-nucleotide non-coding RNA. The record is from Rfam. Lineage: Eukaryota; Metazoa; Chordata; Mammalia; Primates; Cercopithecidae.